This 464-nucleotide ribosomal RNA is filed under the name uncultured bacterium. RNAcentral describes it as "partial 16S ribosomal RNA". It matches the Rfam family "Bacterial small subunit ribosomal RNA", at positions 28 to 507 of the family's 1533-position model. The record is from RNAcentral.
GACGAAUGCUGGCGGCGUGCUUAACACAUGCAAGUCGAACGGAAAGGCCCUGCUUGCAGGGUACUCGAGUGGCGAACGGGUGAGUAACACGUGGGUGAUCUGCCCUGCACUUCGGGAUAAGCCUGGGAAACUGGGUCUAAUACCGGAUAGGAGCCAUUUUUAGUGUGAUGGUUGGAAAGUUUUUUCGGUGUAGGAUGAGCUCGCGGCCUAUCAGCUUGUUGGUGGGGUAAUGGCCUACCAAGGCGGCGACGGGUAGCCGGCCUGAGAGGGUGGACGGCCACAUUGGGACUGAGAUACGGCCCAGACUCCUACGGGAGGCAGCAGUGGGGAAUAUUGCACAAUGGGCGCAAGCCUGAUGCAGCGACGCCGCGUGGGGGAUGACGGCCUUCGGGUUGUAAACUCCUUUCGCUAGGGACGAAGCUUUUGUGACGGUACCUGGAGAAGAAGCACCGGCUAACUACGUG